AGCAUAUCAAUAAGCGGAGGAAAAGAAACUAACAAGGAUUCCCCUAGUAACUGCGAGUGAAGCGGGAAAAGCUCAAAUUUAAAAUCUGGCAGUCUUUGAUUGUCCGAGUUGUAAUCUAGAGAAGUGUUAUCCGCGCUGGACCGUGUACAAGUCUCCUGGAAUGGAGCGUCAUAGAGGGUGAGAAUCCCGUCUUUGACACGGACUACCAGUGCUUUGUGAUGCGCUCUCAAAGAGUCGAGUUGUUUGGGAAUGCAGCUCAAAAUGGGUGGUAAAUUCCAUCUAAAGCUAAAUAUUGGCGAGAGACCGAUAGCGAACAAGUACCGUGAGGGAAAGAUGAAAAGAACUUUGGAAAGAGAGUUAAACAGUACGUGAAAUUGCUGAAAGGGAAACGCUUAAAGUCAGUCGCAUUGUCUGAGAAUCAACCUUGCUUUUGCUGGGUGUACUUUUCAGUUAAUGGGUCAACAUCAAUUUUGACCGUUGGAUAAAGUCUAAGGGAAUGUGGCAUCUUAGGAUGUGUUAUAGCCUUUGGUCGCAUACAACGGUUGGGAUUGAGGAACUCAGCACGCCGCAAGGCCGGGUACUCGUACCACGUUCGUGCUUAGGAUGUUGGCAUAAUGGCUUUAAUCGACCCGUCUUGAAACACGGACCAAGGAGUCUAACAUGCCUGCGAGUAUUUGGGUGGAAAACCCGAGUGCGUAAUGAAAGUGAAAGUUGAGAUCUCUGUCAUGGAGAGCAUCGACGCCCGGACCAGACCUUUUGUGACGGAUCUGCGGUAGAGCAUGUAUGUUGGGACCCGAAAGAUGGUGAACUAUGCCUGAAUAGGGUGAAGCCAGAGGAAACUCUGGUGGAGGCUCGUAGCGAUUCUGACGUGCAAAUCGAUCGUCAAAUUUGGGUAUAGGGGCGAAAGAC
Molecule: ribosomal RNA, 909 nt
Filed under: Stropharia hardii
Lineage: Eukaryota; Fungi; Basidiomycota; Agaricomycetes; Agaricales; Strophariaceae
Description: partial large subunit ribosomal RNA
Rfam family: Eukaryotic large subunit ribosomal RNA
Source: RNAcentral